RNAcentral lists this small nucleolar RNA (89 nucleotides) under Podospora anserina S mat+. RNAcentral's name for it is "A. fumigatus snoRNA Afu_513". It matches the Rfam family "A. fumigatus snoRNA Afu_513". The record is from Rfam by way of RNAcentral. Lineage: Eukaryota; Fungi; Ascomycota; Sordariomycetes; Sordariales; Podosporaceae.
CUUUAUGAUGAAACGGCACUGGGCUCCGAAAUUCCAUGAGCAAGACACGCCACUUUCGCGACAGGCCUAGAAAACCUCGUCCACUGAUC